GUCACCACCAACAAGAACCAUUCAUUUAAGAAAACAUAUACAAUUACAUUUUCUUUUAUUUUUAUUUGCUUAUGAAAACCCCACAUUGUCCCCCUAUCUUAACAUUUUUUAUUUAUAUAUCCCAAGGAAAAAAUAAUUAAAUCACAGUUUAUUUUAAUUUUGUUUUAACAUAUUAAAUCUCUCUUCAGUAUAACUUAAAAAUCAAAGAUGAAAAAAAAAAAAAAAAAAAAACCCUCCAAUAUUUAAAUUCUCAUGUUCUGUAUCAAAACUUAAAAAAAGAUUACUAAUCUUUCACCACCAAACCGGUUCGAACUCGAAUCAUCAUCAUUACAGAUUAUUCGUCGUCUUGUUGUUGUUGUUAUUGCUAGGCACAAGCUCGAACUCACCUCCUUCCUCUUCUUCAUUCUCCUCUUCCUCAUCUUCAUCGUCGUACUCUUCAUCUGUACCUUCUUCAUCAUCAAAGUUCUGCUCCGACGGCUGAGAUUGCUGAUCAGGCUGAGCCGCUGCGGGAGUAGUUGUCGCAGUCGUUACAGCCGGAGGCCAUUGCUGCUCUGGUUGGACCAUCAAGGGAACAGAAUUAUCCGGUUUAACAAGACCGGAAGAUGAAGAAGAAGCUGCAAUGUUGUUGUUGCUGUGGAAUUUGUUCCUCUCUCUAUAUAAAGCAUCAAGCUGGUGAAAGUAAGGGCAAGUCUUGGAAUCUUCGGGACGUUUCUUGUUGCUCUCUUUGACUUUCUUGAAGUAUUUGUUUAUGUUUUCCCAUUUCUCUUUGCAUCUCUUUGAGUUCCUGUUGAAUCCUAACCUUCUCAUUCCCGCUGAUAUCUCUUCCCACAAUGGUCCUUUUGGUCCGUUUUCUUGAUAUUUCGAAUCAAGAUUCGUCCUCAGCUUUAUCAAUGCUUCUAUCUCCACUUUCGGCCACCGCGACGAGCUCGCUGAAGCUGCAGGAGUCAUAUUCUGAUCACCACCAUUGUCCGUUUUCGUUGUGUCUAACGUCGACACAACCGCUUGAAUUGGCUGCGGAAGCGGAGCAGGAGGUUGCGGUGGAGGAGACCGUUGAGGCGGUUGCUGCUGAUUGUUGUUAUUAAGCUGCAUUGAUGGUCGAACUUGUUGCGGCUGAGGCUGCGGUUGUGGCUGAUUCGGUUGUUUCUCUGACAGUUUUUGAAGAAAGGCCAUAACAGCAGCGUCUUUUGCAGCGGACAUAGAGCGUUCUUGAGCUAAGAUCUCGUGCUCGCGGUUGAUUCUGGCAAUCUCUUGAACUCUCCAAGACUCUUCUCUAACCAAUCUCUCGUGUUCUCGCUUUUCAACAGCUUCCAAGAAUUUGCGUUGAAGCUCUUCCUGUUUAUCAACUACUUGUUUCAUCAACCGCUCGAAAAACACCUUCCAUUUCCUCUUCCUUUUCUUCCUUGUAGUCGCAGUUCCACCACCCAUCUCCAUGUCAGAAGAAGUCGAAUAAGAAGACGAAGACGAUGUAGAAUUAUCCGAUAGAAAAUCACCGGAGAUGUUUGGAAACGAAGGUACAUUAAUCUGCUGAGUAUACGGAGGAAUUGAUGAAGAAGGAAGCGUCGGCAUAACUGUCGUUACCGGAGGAGGAGUUGAAAAUAUGGAGCUGUUGUUGUUGUUGUUGUUGUUGUUGUUGUUGUUUUGCUGUGGUCGAAGAGGCGUUUGUUGUUGAUGAUGGUGGAGUGAGGUUGUAGAUUGAGACUCGAGAGCUUCUAAUUGAUCAAAGAAGCGAUAAGUUUUGCCUUCGGAUUUUCCGGUACGACCUUCUUUGGUUCGUUUGUGGUAUUUGUAAACGUUCUCGAAUUUCUCUUUGCAUUUCUUUGCGUUUCUUAUGUAACCAUGCUCCGCCAUUUUCCUAUCAGAACCAAAGAAAAAAAAAAGAUUCACAAAUUCAUCAAAAAAUUCAUGAAGUAAAUAGACUAAUUUUGUUAUGGAAAAAAAGAAAAAGGAUAAAUAUGGUUGAGAAGUGGAUCAAUCAGCAUGAGUUUGUGACAAAAGAGUCUUGCUUUCUCAAUCUCAUGAAUAUAACAUGACCCAACUUAUAUUAUCUAACUGUUAAAUAAAGUUUAAAUUUUUAAUGAAACCCACUUCAAGAACUGUCCGAAUCUGAAUCUCACUGAACUAUACAAACCAAAAAGACAACUCUUACAAAUUCGGCGAAAUUCAAGCAAAUCCCAAAAGACAAAAUUGAACCAAAUCUCAGACAAUUAACACAGAUCUUUAAACAACACUCGUUCAAUUUAAAAAAAAAAAACAAGUUUCAUAAUCAUUCCCAAUUAGAAAACAAAAAAUUCAGAGAAGAAAAAAAGAGAGAGUGGAAAAAGAAGUAUACCAAAAAAAGGAAAAGGGAAUAAAGAGGAAAGGGAGAAGAAAACGCGAACCUAGAAACCUCUUCCCAUAAGGGACCUUUAACGCUAGCGUCUCGAAACGCUAUUCCCAUGUCAGAUCGUAUUUUCAACAACGCUAGCGUUUCCUGCCGCGGCCAACGAUUUCCUCCAAACCCACGGUCGUGCAUCUCUUCCGACACCUCAAACGCCCCAACCGCUGCUGCCGCUGCUUCUGUUGCCGCUGAAUCGUUGUUGUUUGAUUGUGGCGGUGGUGCUGUAGCAGUUGUGACGGUUGUAGCCGCCGCUGUAGUGGUCGGAGUACCACCACCCAGUUGCAUCAUCGUUUAAUAAAGUUUUUUUUUUUUUAAUCUGUUCCUCUGUUUUUCUUUUUUUUCUACUCUCUGUGUCUUUGACGGAGAAGAAGUUACAGAAAUGAAAAAUAAAAAAGAGAAAAAAUAAAAAUUUAGAGAAGAAAAAAAAAAUGGGAGAGAUAAAGAGAGAGAGAGAAAGAGAGAGUUUACAUGAGGAAGAAGAGUGAAAUCUCUGGGCGCAGGGUUUUAUGGUGUUAGAGAGUUUUGUAAAUACCUAAGUUAAUUUCUUUACUUUAUUUUAUAUUUGUCUGGUGAUGAG
This is a long non-coding RNA of Arabidopsis thaliana (thale cress), 2954 nucleotides long. RefSeq annotates it as other RNA. Lineage: Eukaryota; Viridiplantae; Streptophyta; Magnoliopsida; Brassicales; Brassicaceae. The transcript has a single exon. The record is from RefSeq.